This 222-nucleotide ribosomal RNA is filed under the name Triticum aestivum (bread wheat). RNAcentral's name for it is "partial small subunit ribosomal RNA". The record is from RNAcentral. Lineage: Eukaryota; Viridiplantae; Streptophyta; Magnoliopsida; Poales; Poaceae.
AUGCUAGCAGCUGCUGUGAUUAGGCCAAGCUCAAGCCCUUUGCCCUUUUCAAGUCAUGUACCUAUAGGUAGGAUGGGUGGGAGUUGGCGAUUGUGUAUAGACUACAGGAAACUAAAUAGCCUUACCAUUAAUAAAAAUAUCCCAUUCCUUUCGUGGAUGAACUCUUGGAAGAGGGCAGUCCCAAAUGAAAAAAGCCAUUUAUCGAUCCCAAGAAGCAAGUGA